This 9660-nucleotide long non-coding RNA is filed under the name Gallus gallus (chicken). Its description in RNAcentral is "lncRNA (ENSGALG00010015593.1)". Lineage: Eukaryota; Metazoa; Chordata; Aves; Galliformes; Phasianidae. The record is from RNAcentral.
CUCAAAGCAUGAAAUAUGAAUAUGGAGAGCAGUAAUGUUUUCCUUGGCAGAUCAGGAAUGCUUAAAAUCAUCUUCCCUGCCUGACUGUCCUUUGAACAUGGCCCUCUGUGCUGUGAAGUUGUUUAUCUCUGUGCUUUGCCCCUGUAACUGUGUCAUUAAUGCCAUUGCUCUCUUUAGAAUUCUGCAUGGUGUGUGGAUCCCUGUGAUAGAAGGCUAAUGAAAAACUAAGGGUAAAAUCCUGAUUUAAAAUAGGUGGCAAUGCAUUCAUCCUGCUAAGCACAGCCUCUCUGGGAAUCACAGGAGAGUCAGUCCUAAAUGAAAUGUUAGGGUGUGUGUGAAGUAAGCUGGCUCCACUGAGUUAUUAACAGAUCCCGCAUAGAAAAUCAUUCACUGACAUCUUUAAGGGACUGGGCCUGAAAAUUUCUGUCCCUUUAUAAACCUCUGGAUCUGAAGGUAACGUUCUGCAGCAUGUUCACAAAAGAAAGAGGAGUCACUGUUGACAGCUCUGUGUAAAUGCCAGCUCCAUGAUCAGUGGAAGCCAGAAAGUCUAACAAAAGGAAAAAGAAUGUCAAGAGCUUUUUUGGCCAUCUUGUUGAGAUGAUGUUCAGCCAGAAAAUAGAGGACAAAAAGACUACUCAAGGCCAUUGAAAACAUAAAAAUCGGGAAAAAAAAAUUAAAUUAGUUGACAAGAGCUGAAGAAGUUUCUGACGAGAAGAUUUAGGUAUCCUCUGAAUGUCUCGUGUAAAAGCAGCGAGGACUAUUGGAAAACCUACCAAGAUAUUUAUGGAGGUUUGUAUAGGAAUUCUCAAAUCUGGGAGAUAAUGACUCAUAUUUAUUUCAACAAAUAUUUUAUUUAUAGAUAGUUUAUAAUUGCAGACUGAGGUUACCAAAGAAAAGGAAUAGGAGGAAAAUGCAGACACUCCUUGCUUUAACAUGAAGAGAAUAAAUGAGUCUUAGUACUGCUCAAUAACAAGAUUAGGACCUAGUGUUCCCUCAAACCCAUCAAUAUUCCAGAACCUUGCCACUUUAUCUACUUUCAAAUUAAACCCAGUAAUGAUUUCUCUAUGAUAACUCUGGUGAUAAAACUGCAGAACUAUAUAUUUAAAUGAAAACAUAAGGUUUUGGUGAAGGCUCUGCUCCAGCAUUUGAAUAAUAAUGAAGUACUUCCCUUUGCAGGGCUCAGUCAUUAGCACAUUCCACUGAGUUUAGGAGAAAGCAAUGCCCUCGUCUGGGCAUGUCCAAGGAAUAUAAGAAUUUCCAAAGCAGAAGGAGAAAGCCAGUAGUUCCGGGGAAGGAAAUUUGAAACUACCUCUUAUUGGAAGCUAUCAAUAAAAAAUGCUUGAAGAAUAGAAGAUGAAGCUGAAGCCACAUUUAAUCAACGCCCCCUCCCCCCCACCCCUAAAAAAAAAAAAAAAAAAGUUGGGGGCUUAAAAAGGAGCAGAAGCUGGCAAAUUCAGACUUCUGUGAGGCAAGUUAAGGACAUAGGAUUUGCAUAGAAUGAGACUGACAAGGCCAUGAAGCAUCUAAUCAGCUUGUCAGCUGCAUCCUGCAGGUUGCUACGACAAAAGAUUUUCUCCAAAAUAUACAGGAUGCCAUGGAGACUGACUGAAAAAAAGCUCUUAAUCCCUGCUUUGCUGGUGCUGACAGGAGAAUAGAUCUCUAGACACAUAGCAUAUUUGGUAAGCAGGAAGCUGGAGACUGAGGUGGUCAAAAGGGUGAAAACUUGCCUGUCUGUGGCAGUCCAGCUUUUCCUCAUAACUAUAUCACAGGAUAUUAAUUUGCCAAACAGGCUAUAAUCCAGCUACAAAAAUCUGGGCUUUGGGGAUUGCUAGUCAUGAAGCACAUGACUUUACAGAAAAGCUGGUGAAUGGUUUUAUGCCAGGAACGGUGCAAAAUAAACUCACUUAGCAACCUGAGAGAAUAUUUACAGUCUACAGAUUUAACUACACAGAUGUAGAGGAAGGUGAGCCCUCCAUCUUCUGUAAUUUGAGACGACUCAAAGAAUGCUUCUUGGAGAGAAUUCCAUUUUAAUUUUUUCCCUGUUUUUUACUUAAUACACUUCUAAUGCCGUACACUUGUGUUGUUCUUACUUGAACAUCAACGAUUUUUAUGUUGGAGUUGUAUGAUAAACUUGCAUUUGAUUGACAUCAAGUUAUGCAGGUCACAGAUCCAUAAUCCAAAACUUACAGCAAUCUUGGCUCAGACAGGUUUAUUAGAUAAAGCGCAGUGUCCCACCUAUUGCUUUUAUUUCUACCUGCUACCAUUCUGGAGUAGUGAAUUUUGGAGAGAUCACAUUAUUUUUCUGUGGAAAUGUAUAUGUUUCUAUUUCAGGAAUUGCUAAUCAGACAAGGAAGGGAAAUUCUCCUUAACAAGUGUCAGGCCCAGUGGAGCUUCUGCCGUGCAUGAUCCAAACUAACUCCAGGAAGAGCAGCUGUCCUUGCUCUCUUCCUGUAGGGAUGAGGAGGCUCCUGUGCUGGGGCCAGCCCUGGUAAGAAAAAGGGAGGAUGUUGCUGGCGUCCUAAGUAGCGGUCUCAUCAAUGCUACAGUGCACUCAGCAGGACCCAAACUGAUGUCUGAUGAUGUCUGUGCUUUGUCGGUGUCCUAAAUGACUCAGGGGACACUGAACUAUUGUGUCACUCAAGCUUGUUCAUAAUUUAGGAUAACUUGGUUCCUACAAUCACAGCAAUAGAGACACAAUUGAAUUAAUCUAUUUAUGCUGCAUAACUUGGCACCUCUGAAACUGUUGCUGAAUGAUUUCGUAUUCCUUGUAGAGAUCCAAUAAAAUCUGUAGAAAAGAGCAAUAAACACUAGCAACAGAUCAUUUCAGUUUUAGUGCAGUAUAUUUCUUUGUGACUGUAAGAAGGAUAACGUGCAUGAAAAAAAUAAAUGACCCUUCUCCUUGACUGCGAAGUGUUGCUGAUUUUUCUUACUGUCCUUCUAAGUAAGAAACUUCAGUUUCUCUUUCAGGAGGGCUAAAUUGAUGGUAAUGUUGACAGACAAAAAGAAAAUCAAUUACAUUUUCAAUGCAGAUAUUAAUUUAGAGGUGGUCUGUGGACUAAUGUUACAAGAAAUUUUACUUUAAAAUUACAUUAUGACUGACUAACAUUAAUCUGUUUCAUUUGUAAGGUAUGCAUACUAAAUAACUGAUAUAAAUAGUUGCUCCUAUUGAAAAAACACUCAACUACCAAUAAAAUUCAAGUAUAAAACCGAUGAGACAGCUUUUUAGGCACCACCCCAAUUACUCCAGGAGUUCACAAAGCAACAUCUGCAGUCAUUAAAUAGUAUCUAUUUACUGUAGAAUUUACUGAUUAGAGCAAUUAAUCUCUUAAAACAUUUGCUUUGACUCCCUUAGAGCACACAUCUCUCUCAGGCUAUUGAAGCAUUUCUCUGGCUGCAUAUUCUAAGUCAAGAAGAUACCCACUGAUUCAGUAGACUUUGGAUUAGUUCCUUGGCUGUUGUUCAAUACAGCAUGGAAAACUUUUCCCUAUCUGUCAUGUGCUAAGUAUGGAAUACGAUCACACAAUCUCUAUGCAGUGUUCAUACUGCUUCUUACAUCUUGAUAGAAUCCAGAGUAACAGACAGCUCAGCUGUGCUACAUAAUGGAAAAGAAUGAAUAAAACAAGUAGAUCAGGGUCUGUACAAUAUAAUGCAGAAGUACCAUUGCAAGGAGCCAGCCAAUGUUACAAAUCCUGUUUCAGUGCUGGGCUUGCAAGACUCAGGCUAUUCUCCAGAAUUCUUGAUUGUGAACUUUAACUCAUGCACAGAUAAAACUUGGAUCCAUUGAGCCUAUUACUCAAAGCUCUGUGGGAAAGUAGGUGUACAUCUGGGUCUGUUCCAGCCCUGGAAGCAGUACAGCUGUAUUAACAAUGUGCUUCGUGUAUCACUAAAUGCCCUGCUGGACUUGAUGUUUUGUAUCCCUAGCACGGAUGAUCAACAGAGCACAUUACCUGCUUAAGGAUAAAUGAGAGUUGGCUGCAUUUGCCAAAUGUGAAUCAGUGUUUCUGUUAGAUGUAGUGUGUAAACUUGAAGUUAUAUACAGUUCUUUUAGACCACCAGUUCCAUAGGAUUCUUAUUAUCUUUUUGAUUGUUAAUAAUAAUAAAAAAAAGAAUGUUGGCAAGAAAAACAACUGUAGGCUAAUCACAUAUCAAAAAAUGUUAUUAAAAAUAAAAUUAUAUCUCAAAGUUUUUAAUAGGUUUUUGCUGUAAUAUAAUUACAUACUAAAAACAAAUUGAAAAUUGGUAUUUUAUCACAGAAUCAUAGAAUAUCUUGGGUUGGAAAGAACCUUAAAGUCUACCUAGUUCCAACCUCUGCUUUGGGCAUGGCUGCCACCCCCCAGCUCAGCUGCCCAGGCCCCAUCUAACUUGGUUUCCAAUACCUCCAGGGAUGGGGCACUCACAAUUUCUCUGGGCAGUUGUGCCAGUGCCUCACCACCCUCUGAGAAAAAAGAAAUCCUGAUGUGUAAUCUAAAUCUCCUACCUUUUAGUUUGAAAACAUUACCCCAAGUGAUGAUUAAAGUAUUGUAUUAAAUGCUUCCUUACAUUGCUAUAAGAGGGCCUGAACCUUGGAGAUUAAAUGGAAGAAAAAGAAAAAGCCAGUGUAAGAUGUAGUAAGUAAGAAUAAGAGUAAAUAUUUGAAAUGUAUUGGAGCAGGUCCGGAGGAGGACCAUGAAGAUGAUCAGAGGGCUGGAACAUCUCCCACAUGAGGACAGCCUGAGAGAGCUGGGGUGCUUCAGUAUGGAGAAGGCUCUGAGGAGACCUUAUAGUGGCCUUCCAGUACCUGAAGUAUGCCUACAGGAAAGCUGGGGAGGGACUUUUUGUAAGAGCUACAGGAUGAGGGGAAAUGGUUUUAAACUGAAAGAGGGUAGAUUUAGAUUAGAUAUUAUGAAGAAAUUCUUAACUGUGAGGGUGGUGAGACACUGGAACAGGUUGCCCAGUGAGGUUGUGAAUGACCCUUCCCUGGACGCAUUCAAGGCCAGGCUGGAUGGGGCUGUGAACAACCUGGUGUAGAGGGACAUAUCCCUGCCUACAGCAGGGGGAUUGGAACUAGGUGAUCUUAAAGGUCCCUUCCAACCCAAACCAUUCUAUGAUUCUAUUCUAUGAAAUUAAUUAGUUAAUAAUAAUAGUUCUGUAUUGUAAUUGAAAGCCUUAAAAAAAAGUAUAUUCUUACAUAUGAUCAAAGUAUAUCACAAAGAAACAGAAAAAAAAAAAAAGCUAAAGAAAGGUCAAUGUCAGUUGAAGUUAUUCAGGACAGUAUAUCAGUGGAUAUAUAUAUCAUGGAUCCAUUUAAUCAUGUUGAUCUGUUGAACUGCAGGUAUGCAGAUUCAAAUAAGAUAAUUCUGAGAUUCAGAAUUAUAUUUACAGUUCAUUUUAAAAUGCUGGCCCAAGGAAAAUUAUUGUUGUCUGGCAAAGUAUCUCUUAGUCUGUUAUUCUGCUUUGUACAAAUGUAUUUAAAACAAAUGUAUGUAUGUCGAAGGACAUUUGAAAGACAGGGAUUUUUAGUAGAAAUUUUGUGUGAGUCUUCUGAAUCUACUCAGAAAUUUAAAAUAUCAGGAGCCUUACAGGAUUUACCUUCCCAAGGAUUGACAAACAGGCUGAUUCGGUAAGAUGAAACAGUAAUUAAGUACUUUCAUAUAUUCAGUUCCAGACGGGUUAGUAACACAUUCCAAGCUGAUAUGAAUGGCACAAUUUGUCCUCUGGAAUUGCAUCUUUCUCUCCACUAAGAAUGAAGUGAAGGCCAGAGAGGUGAAGCUCCAUUCCUAUAACCAGGCUUGCACAUCUUUACACUCUGUAAGUCUGGCUCAGCUACAGAUACUUAUGCACACGAAUAACCUUUUCACAUCAAUAUCCUCCUGAAGACCACAGAGUAACAGUUAACUGAAGAAAAGAAUGUGUAUACAUCUCUAGGGUCAUACCUCAUUCUGUGUCUCUAUUUUUGAAUAUGUUUCCAAUUCAGAGGUUACUGUUAAAAAUUCUUGCACAUCAUAAGGCUUAUGUUCAGGAAAGAGGGUGUCAUCAAUGACUGUGUAUCUCAGGGCAUUAUGUCCUUUCUAAGGAAACAGAAAACUGUGGUGAGUAGCAGCGAAGAAAUUGUCUAGUAUAAAACUGAAACUGAAAUUUAUUUUCAAAGUGGAGAAAAGGGGGUGCCAAGAAGGAACACUUGCCUGAUCCAAACACACUGGCAUCUACUUUGGUGUUUUUAGUUCAGACUGUGAAUCCAAAAUAUAAUCCUGUUUUCAUUGACAGUGAAGAUCUUAACCAGCAUAGAUAUUGGCUUGGAUUGCCCAACCAAAAUCCCAGGAGUUGCUCAUUAAUUCAGCAAGCCACAUUUCCUGUAAGAGAGAAUUACCUGAAGAUAGAUUGACAAUGGUGAUCUGUUUCAGUCUCUUUCAUUACUAGAUGCUUUAGCUAUUGUUUUUCCCUGGGACAAUAGUUUUUAUUACUGCUUAUCCAUAUUUCCAGAAAUAUAGCAAAUCAUGUGCAUCUUGAAAUAAAAUGGAAGCAUGAAAAUGAUACUAAAAAUCAUUCAAAAGUCGUUGAAAAUAAAAUAUUUGUUUGUUUCAGACUUAGAAAAUAUACAGCCAGACAAUAUAAAUUAGGUAAUUUCCUUACCUGUUUCACUCUAACCUAGACAGGUUCAACAAGUUCAGAAACACUGGUGAAAAGGCAAGAUAAGAGGUAGGUAGUCUGGGCUAGCUUGUGUAUGUAUAUUCAUGAGGUGGGAUGACUGUCAGUGAGAUAUUGGUGGGAGUACUGGGUCACUUGCCUGGGUUUUGGAAUGAAAUAUCCAAAGAAAAACCAUCUUGUGUGAUCUUGAAAAUCAAUUCAUUAACAGGAAAGCUGUGUCACAUGGAGUAGUGCAUAUUAUUUCUAUUUGUAAAUAUUUUCAAGAUGCGAAAAUGACAAAGAAGGCCACACAAAUACUGUAAAAAAAGAUAGAAAUAACAGAUCCAGUACUUAUUUAGGAAAGUAAACAAAACAAAACAAAUAAACAUUUCUUUUCUCUUUUGUUUGGUGACACUCCGGCUGCAAAAAUUAGAGUUAUGGCUCUUCUAACUUCCCAGUACAAAAGAAAUACUGUUCUUUGUUCUGUCCGAAUGCCUAGGUUUUCAUGGGUUGGGUUUUCAUGGGUUGGGUUUUCAUGACUCAUUUCUCCUUUACUGCAUCUGGGUGCUGGUACCUGGAGAAAUGAAUAAGAAUGGGUAGAACAUACCCGUCUUGGUUAUCCUGCAAAUCUGAAAGUGUUUUGAUAUUCUGGUCCACACUGAUGGCAUGAGUAGUUUUUCUCUUUUAUCUCUGUCAAGAAUUUUUAGAUUUGAGAUAUCUGCUUUACAAUUCAGGUGGAGCAUGAGAGAGAACCUGGGCUGAAGUUAAAUAUGUCACAUCCAGAACACAGCAUGAAUAAUUUUCCUCUGAUUUACAGUUUGGUGUAACUUGUUAUGAAGAUGUCAGUAGUUUGUCUUUUUCUCCUUUUAAAGUGGUGACACAGUGAAUGACCAGAACAUGCUCUCUGCAUUGAUUAGUAGUAGAAGCUUUAGCAUGACUAGCUCUAAACAGACAUUUGAAAGACGAGAGAGAAGAAUUUUUUAAAAUGGCACAGUGUGAAAAUUUCACUUGUAGGGUCUUUAUAUGGAGCAAAGAGGUUAUCCACCUAAGGACAAAUAUAAAGUGCAAUGAAAGCUCAAUUUAAAAGCAAGACACCUGCAGCUUGCAGCUCAAUAAACUCUUUUUUUUUCUUUUUUUCUUUUUUUUUUGGGGGGGGGAGGAAAAUUAAUAGUGAAAGAUUGAGACUAAUUUUCAUGUUUUUAACUUCAAUACUCAAGUAUUAUCUGUUCAUCCAAUGUUUUGCUGCAACCUGUGGUUACUGUGUCUACCAUCCACACUAGACGAUGGGAAGAGGACCUGCACAAUAGGAAAUGUUCUUGCUUAACCCCAGGCAACAGCCCUAACUGAGCAUGAUAAUUCAAAAGAAGGAUUGAUCAAAAUGGGAAACUGCAGACCUCUGGUGACAUUGCAAAUGAGGUGAAGGAAACAGCACAAUUAUUUGUGUAGAUAUGGUGGCAUGGCAUCCCCCUGGAAUUCAGGCUGAGACAGGGAGACUUGGGCAACUCCUAGAAGAGACCAGUAAAGCCAGUUGCAGAACAAACUCUGUCUUCCUUUGUAUCUCAUAUUUUUCACCUGAUUUUAAAUAUGCUUUUCUCUCCACUCCUGCUGUAACGGUAAGCAGGAAUUUAUUCUUAGUUCCUAAAACAGAAGCAGGAAAGCAGUGUUAAUAAUUACUUUUACAAAUCUGUAAUGAGAUAAAAAAAACAAGUGCCUUAACCUAGGUAGAGAAGAAUUAUUUGUGGGGCUUUAGCUUUCUUUCAAUUAAGAACAAAAAUCAGAAGGAAUUCCAGUUAGAAAAAAAUGAACUUAAAAUUUUACUACGAUUGAGAAGACUCAAUAUCACAACAGUAAUACUCAGAUUGCCCAGCCUAGUGUGAAUACAGAAACAUGGGAAUAUAGUUUAUGUCUCAGCUGGAAUCAGCUUGCUCAUAUCUAUGAUACUCAAAAUUGUAUGAACUAUAUGAACAUCACUGUUUUGCUUGAUUCCUGUAAGCACAUCAUGCAACUGAGUUCUGGUGAGGAGGAAGCAAUGCUAUUUGCCUUUAUAUUAUGUGAUUUGGGUGGGAGGGCUGUGUUGUUUCUGUUGUUGUUUUUUCUUGGCAUUUGUGUUGAUAUAAUAUAUAUUCGUCAUUUAUAAUAUGCCAGUAAAAAUCUGUUAAAGAUGCUGUCGUUGAGUUACUCAAGUACAAAAAGCUUGCAGAAAUAGUAUUCUCCAAGUUUACUGUAAUUUUCAAGAAGCUUAUAAAAUGUAUAUACAUUUGAAGGGUUAGUUGAGAAAUUUCCCACUAGUCAUUGCUGCUAUAGUUAUGUUGUAUGAACAAAAGGCAACAUGUUUACUGUCUUUGUUUUGCUUUUUCAGGCUCUGUAAUCUGCAGUGAACCAUGCACUGAAUUUCUGCCUCUGGUGAUGGCCCAUCAGAUGAGCAGGAUGGAUCUUUCUCAUGAAAACUAAACCAGCUUGUACAUAAUAGCUAGUACAGAACAUGUGCGUGUUUGAACAGAAGAGUGAGUCUAGGUGAGAGAGAAUUGACCGGGCACUCAAAUCAACAGUUCUUCUCCGAGCAGGAGCCUGAAGAGUGGGAGUGUAAGAUGAGAGGGCAUACUUCAGUGAAGAGCAGUGCCCUGGGAAAAGGGCAAGACGUAUGGACAGUAGUCUCUGCUUGAGGAACACUACUGCAACCUGCUGAGGAUCUGCUGAAAUAACCUUGUGUUCCAGUGCCUCACCACCUGUCCUGACCUUUGCUAGGUGUGAAUGGCCACUUGCCAGCUGCUGAGAGGAAACAUGUGCUCCUCUUGCUGAUGUGAAGCUUGAGGACUUCAAAAGGCCAAUUACUCCUAACAUGGAGGUAACCAGUGUCUCACAUCUGGCCAUCCACUAUCAUACCUCAGAUAUGGCAGCCCUCCCUGCUUGUUCUCGACAUAGACUUCCAUUUCUGUUAGUAGAAAACUUUCCACAACAUCAGUUGUGUGAUAACAUCAUUAUCUUUCACCAACAAUAAAAGGUUUGAUGAAGCUGUUAUAACAUAUAAGAAAUCUGCUGGUUGUUCCUCCACAUCUA